UACAUGUGGGGCAAGCGUUGUUCGGAAUUACUGGGCAUAAAGGGUGCGUAGGUGGCUUGUUAAGUCAGGGGUGAAAGUUUUCGGCCCAACCGGAAAAUGGCCUUUGAUACUGGCGAGCUCGAGUGCGUGAGGGGUAACCGGAACGAGCAGUGUAGCGGUGAAAUGCGUAGAUAUUGCUCGGAAGGCCAACGGCGAAGGCAGGUUACUGGUGCGCAACUGACACUGAGGCACGAAAAGCGUGGGGGAGCAAAACAGGG
Molecule: ribosomal RNA, 257 nt
Filed under: uncultured bacterium
Lineage: Bacteria
Description: partial 16S ribosomal RNA
Rfam family: Bacterial small subunit ribosomal RNA
Source: RNAcentral